UGCACCAGGGUUCCAGAUGGCGUUUGGUGU
This 30-nucleotide non-coding RNA is filed under the name Rattus norvegicus (Norway rat). The record is from RNAcentral. Lineage: Eukaryota; Metazoa; Chordata; Mammalia; Rodentia; Muridae.